RNAcentral lists this ribosomal RNA (496 nucleotides) under uncultured bacterium. RNAcentral's name for it is "partial 16S ribosomal RNA". It matches the Rfam family "Bacterial small subunit ribosomal RNA", at positions 29 to 507 of the family's 1533-position model. The record is from RNAcentral.
AUGAACGCUGGCGGCGUGCCUAAUACAUGCAAGUCGAGCGAACAGACGAGGAGCUUGCUCCUCUGACGUUAGCGGCGGACGGGUGAGUAACACGUGGAUAACCUACCUAUAAGACUGGGAUAACUUCGGGAAACCGGAGCUAAUACCGGAUAAUAUAUUGAACCGCAUGGUUCCAUAGUGAAAGACGGUUUUGCUGUCACUUAUAGAUGGAUCCGCGCCGCAUUAGCUAGUUGGUAAGGUAACGGCUUGCCAAGGCAACGAUGCGUAGCCGACCUGAGAGGGUGAUCGGCCACACUGGAACUGAGACACGGUCCAGACUCCUACGGGAGGCAGCAGUAGGGAAUCUUCCGCAAUGGGCGAAAGCCUGACGGAGCAACGCCGCGUGAGUGAUGAAGGUCUUCGGAUCGUAAAACUCUGUUAUUAGGGAAGAACAAAUGUGUAAGUAACUAUGCACGUCUUGACGGUACCUAAUCAGAAAGCCACGGCUAACUACGUG